CUGUUUGACUUGUCUAUUCCCCCGCGUCCACCUCAUAUGAGAGACAAAUCUGUUGACAACAAGGUCGUCCUGUGAGCAAACUUUCGGUGCCCCCCCUCCCCCCUUUUCUUCUUCCUCUCCAUCUCUUUCUAUCAUCCCCUUUGAAGUUAUGUCCAAAAGGCUGUUAUUAUCUGGUAUUAAUAGAUGCAGCCCCAGGAAGACAAAAUCAGCUAUUGAUAAUUGCAAGGAGUAUACGGCAGCUACUGUAUCGAUCGGCGUGUCCUCCACUCCCCUGGUACUGAGAGAUAAGGAGACACACUCUUUAGAGCAAUAUAAUUUCUUUUGACCUAUCUGCUUGCUACAGACUUAUGAUGAAUAGCCAGAGUGGCUGAAGUCCUUUAUCACCAAAGUUACCCCCUUGAUAUAAUAUUGAUUCUUUAUAACUAGCUCGCCACACAAAAAUCAAACUGUCCACUUGGCCAUCAUCAUCAUCAAUAUCAUCACAAAGGCGGAGGAAUGAAGAUCCCCCGCGCGUCUAAAGGCGAGCCGUUACAAUCUCCUCUGUAGGCCUAAUCUUUAUUUUGCUGAUGAUGAAAGGAGAGGGGAAACGAGGCAAGGUGCCAUUUAAGACGCGGUGCCAUUUAAUCCGGUAUAGACUACACAUACACACACCGCACACACUUAUAGAGAGAGAGGGAAAGAGAGGGGGUGUCCAGACCGGGCUGCCGAACAGCUUUGGAAUUCACGUCGCUUGAAAAGUUUGAUUUCCACUAAGCUUUACGUAACCCUAAGAGCCCCUGUGAUUUUAUAUAGCUUGAUCUGACUUCAAAAAUAAAUAAAUUACCAAGUCAAAUAUUAUUGUUCUCCAAUUUACUGCAGUGGACGAGCAAAUAAAUACAUAAAUACGUUUUUUUUUUAAAAAGCACUUUUUUGUUUCAUGGCACUGCGGAUGCCGGAUGCCUCAGAGGUAUCCUUUAACCUUAGAGGCUGCUUCCUGCAGAGCUGGAUCCCCACCGAGGCUAUUACAACGGGGGCCACUCUCUCUAUUCUCCGAGAGAGGAGUGAGAGUGCUGCUGGUGCUGCUGGUGGAAGAGGAGGAGGAGGAGGGGGGCAUGGUGGCGGAGGAGGGUGGGAGAGGAGGGAGAGCAGAAACGUGUAAUCACCCAAACAACCGUUUUUACCCGUUUCACCCCCUCUGGAUCUGUGUCGCAAGUCCGCUGUGAGCCUGUCUGCCUUUCACUGCGGAUAUCGUGGAGGGAGGCCGGAGCGUGAAGAAGACACCAGAGAGGUGUGUGGCAUGUGGAAAAGUGUGCAGACACGAUCAACAUGUGACUUAUCCUAUAAACGCUCUUGAACAAUUGCCUUGCUAAUCACAUUAUGGAUACAGUAAGCUCAACAAAUUGGAGGAGAAAUGUGAUCCCUCGGAAUAGAAGAAAUCAGCUUUAAGUGGCCUUUUCUGGGAGCCCUGAUGGAGCCAACACUGGUGGACUGGGACACAGCAAAGCCUGGGCACCUGCCAAAAGACAGGGACAAAUUGAUUGAGACCAAGCUAGCUCCUCCUGCAUUUAACCCCUGCUCCAGCACCAGUUGGUCCUUCUAAAUCACCACAUAAGAAAACAGAAAAAAUAAAGCCUAAAUGGAGCUGCUGCUGCUAAAACAUAUCCCUCUUUAAAUUUACUUUUCAUUAUUUUCCAUUUCAAUUUUUCUUUGUUAUUAUUGUUGCCUGCUGAUUGUAUUCACUUCUGUUUUUACUCUAUUUGUUAAUUUCUAUUUGGUUACAUUUUCACUCAAUUACUGAAAAAGUUGGCCUUCAGUCUUUUUGGCUCAGUUUGCAGGGGCACUUGUGAAUAAAUACAAAGUUGGAAGAGACUGCUUGCAUUGUGCCAGAGGCAUUGUCACUCGUAAUGAUGAAGGUGAAAUUAAAAAUCCCUAUAAACCAUGCUGUCUUUUACUUGAAAAACCAAUUAAAACAACUGAGUUGAUUUGCCAUCCACUAAAACUACAAAAGCCUCCAUCCUGUUAGUGUAGUGGGGUAUUGCAACAAAGUCUGCUGCAUGCUUUACUGCUAUUUUCAGUAAUGCUACACUGGAGAACAAAAGGGGGCGGUUAUGUGUUUAAAUUCUUAAAUGCAAGCAAAGUUCUAGUUAUAUCCUUUCGUUUUAUAUCAGUAUCAAUAAAUGCACUGCUUUCUUUCCACAGAGGGACACAGUUUUCCACCCUCAGAUGUCUUGCUAGUACACAUAAGGUCACCACAGAACAAGAGUGGGAAGAAUCUGGGAGCAAAAGGCAAAAUGGUUUGUGUCGAUUUAAGCAAGAGGGUAAUAGGAGGAGUGGGAAAAAAAUCAAUAACAACAUAAAAUUGAUUUAGUGCGUGUCAUAAAACAUAAGUAAGUGCUCUGAGAUGGAGAAAACUGGAGUCUCAAUUUAAUCUGUGCAAAAGCUGCACUGUACAGAUGAAGCGAUGUCAAGAGGGAGAAAGAUAGGAAGCGGCUAAAGGAGAGUGGGUGGGAAGAAAGAAGAAAAGCAGGAGGGAGGACAGAGUAGCUCACAAGAUAAAGAGAGGAAGAUACAAUAAAAUCUAAAAGACAGACACUUAAUUGUCAUAUUAAAGACUCUUUCCAGUGCUCGGCAGAGUGGAAGGUUAGCUCCCAUUCAUCAUCUCGCUAACAGCCGCCUGAAUGAAAUCACAAUUAAAAUCUGCUCAGUAUUGUCCCUGGGACGUUUCGCGAGCAUUAAUUUUUUCCCAUUGAUUCUCUACCCCCCAUAAAUCAGAAAUGUUGCAGCGCAUGCAAUGGUUUAUGGAGAAGGGAUUAUGGUGUUAUGAAGCUAAUGUAGCAGAACCGUCUCAUUUACACACAGCCUCCCUGGCCAGCUUACAGGGGACGGAGUUAUUACACUAUUACACAGCCUAUCACAAACACAACACACUGACACUGUUUAAACGAUACGUUUAAUUGGACAGUACUGUAGAUUUACAGCUUUUAUGAUCAUAACAGCAUUGUGUUUUGAGGAUUCUGUUCAUUUGCAGCACAAAAGUGCAGUAGGAGAAGAUUACAGCAUUUGUCGCAGAAACCAGUGAUUCUCUAAACAUCUCAGAAGGAUUAUCCAAAGCCCUGAUCAGUUCCUAUAUAUAAUUUUCCAGUAUAUGGUUCUAAGGUGUAGACUUUUACACCCUUAAAAGACAAAUCCAAGCACUGAAGUUUAGUUUAGUCUGAAAAAGUUUUGCUCUGCCAUUCCUAAGUUGCUAUUAAAAAAAUAAUAAAGUAAAGGAGAAUAUUAAAUGCCGUAAUAUAAAAUAAAAGGUAGAAGAGUACACAAUAAAAUAAACAGAUAGUUUUAAAGUAAGUAAAUAAUAAUAAUUAAGAGCCAGUGAGGCUGCUAGCUAGCUAGCUGCCCGCUAGGCGUUAUCUCAGCUUCUUUUAAACAUUCAGCAUGACCUCGCUACCUUGUUUGCAGUGGGUUUUUGUUUUAAACUUCAAUAAUGUGAUUUGUAAUUAAACUGUCUCCAUUCUUGGUUAGUGGUACUCUGGUAUUGUUUUUAUGAACAUGUUAGACAGUGCUCUUGCACUCCCUGCUAACCAUGCUUGCUGGUUAGCUAAUAACAUAGCACACCCCCGCCUUCUGUGUAAAUGCAAUCAAUUUAGCCUAAAUGCUAAAAUAAAGGCUUCAACACAAGGUGACAAGAUGACUGGUGAAAGCACAGUGGCUACAUCCAUCUUUUAGAUAUAGUUUAAGACAGAGCACAGUUGUUAGUGGGAAUAAUGCACAGCAUUAUUAUUAUUUGCAAGCAUCUGGUCUUUGUCUGAAAUCAUUUUCUUGUCCAGUCAUUUGCUGCCUUACCUAUUUUGCAUAAUAAUUUAAUCUGCUGUGAGCAGCAAACUGUCAUUAUGAAGGUGUAUGUGAUUUUUUUGUCCUUACUGACAGGUGUCAUGUCAUGCAAAGCUAAUUUGGUUCUACAAAUUACACAGCAUUGUAUCGUAGAACUUUUAGUUUGUGUUAAUUGCAUGCAUAAAUUUCCCACUCAUUUUGGACACUCAAUAAAUACUAUACCAUCUUUAUCGUUUACAGCUGUGUCUUCCUAAGUAAUAUGAGCCUUGUAAAAGAACAUGGGUAAAUGCAACAGAUUUGUCACUGUGUUCUCAUAGCACAUUGUUAUAUUGUUGUUUUUUUAAUGGCUUGAGCCCAUCAGCAAUCCAAAAUCCAUAACUAUCAUAGUUCAUUCUGAGGGAGUUAGAUCAGAAUGAACUACCCAAACAUCACAUCAUCGUCACAUAAACUGGUCCUGACAGCAGC
Molecule: long non-coding RNA, 4272 nt
Organism: Haplochromis burtoni (Burton's mouthbrooder)
Lineage: Eukaryota; Metazoa; Chordata; Actinopteri; Cichliformes; Cichlidae
Exons: 5
Source: RefSeq, a predicted model, not a curated record